GUAGUUUUCCCUGUACAAGCUCUCGCCUGCCGCCAUGUAAACGUUCUUUGCUCCUGCUUCGUCUUCUGCCGUGAUUGUGAGGCCUCCCCAGCCAUGUGGAACUACUCAUCACUCACUGCAGAUGUUACUUUAAGACAUUCUGGAGCAGCGUCAUGUGCAGGAACAAUAAGGAAGUGAGUGCUUUUGUAAUUCCUGAACAACUGUGUCUUACACUUACUAAGUUCUCUUGCCUGCCACCAUGUAAGAUAUGCUUUUACUCUUCCGCCUUCCACCGUGACUGUGAGGCCUCCCCAGCCAUGUGAAACUAUAUGUGUAAUGGAAAAUCGAAACCAACCAUGGGGCAUAAGGAGGAACAUUACAUAGGUCAGAUUUAAAGAAUGUCUCUGAGGGAAAAUAGUGGAAAGCUCUAAAGGAAGGCCUUUGAGCUUAUACUGAAUUAUACCACCAGCUUUCCUAGGUCUUGAAGCUUACAGACAGCAGAUCUUGGGACUUCUCAGGCACCAUAAUCAAUCAUAGAUAAAUGAUCCAAUGAUUCGGAACUUGAAAAGUGGUAGCUUUAUGAAUUCUCCUUAAGAAGAAACCUGUGCCCUGAUCUUGCCUACUCACCCAAAGGCACUGUGAGAUAGCAUCAAAGGAACAGCUAGUAAGAGACACAGAGCCAGAAAUCAGGGAAGUAAAAUACACUUGACAUCUACGUUCGGAAAGAAAUUUUAGGAGGCAGAAGCAAAUGGAUCAGAAGCUGCUUAUAUUUUUGCAAGAUUACCAAAGAAACCAUUGGUGGAGAAAGUUCUGUGACCAACUUGUCUGAGUCUAGUAAGAUUGAACGCUCACACACAAGUUUCAUGAAGUGGGUUUGAUACUUACAGAUAAGCAGCAAGGACCAACAGAAGCUGAUGAUCUAUGGUGAACUUUUUCCCAAGGCUCCGGAAAGCUGCCUAAAGUAGAUGGAGUCUUCUCUGUGUGUGCCCCACUGGUCCUGCAGUUGAAGGAUCCGGUAAAGCAGCCUGCCCUUGGUUUUAUACUCCAGAGGAACGUGAUUCGCUGGACUAAAGCAUUGAAGUGCAUCCUGUUUCCGGGGGGCACUGGAACAGAGCCUGGUCUGUUCUAGCCAGUCCCUUUCUAUCUCAGGAUAACAUUCUACAGUUAUUCUUGAGAACUAUAAUCAAAUAAGCAGGGAGAACUGGAGGCUCAUUGUGGAACCCUCAAGGAGCAUGGGGUCGUCUUCAUCCCUCAGUUUAUAAAUGGCCAAGGAGAGUAAUGCAACAAAAACUUCUCAGAGUUAAAAGCCAGAGUUCCUAAAGAACCGUGGACAAAGGGUUCUGUCUAGUGGGCAGAAUUCAUCCAGCGAAGGUGCUUACUGCACUCCCAGCAUGUGCUUGGGAACUUUAUUAAAAUUCCUUCCUAUUGAGAUUUAAAUUGCUGUCCAGAAUUAUACAAUAUAAUGAAUGGGGGCAUUCAUUAUGUGUAUUCUAUGCCUUCUCCAUCAUUGCAUAUUCAGUCCUCGUGCUAGAGAGAGGCAGAUAAUCUACCUUUUAAAUUGAUAGGUCUCCUAACUACAGAGGGUCACAUCUGGAUCUGAUGGCACCUACAGAACUUGGACUCUGAGCGACAAUCAGUGACCAGGAAAUUUGGAACCCAGGUUUUCCCAACCUACAUCUACAAAAUGGAAUGGGUCUGAUUCGCAAGUUUUCAGAGAAAGAAGCCAACCUUAAUCAGACUGUGAUAUGAUGAGGAAAUAAAACUUGCUGUGCUAAUCAA
Molecule: long non-coding RNA, 1758 nt
Organism: Homo sapiens (human)
Lineage: Eukaryota; Metazoa; Chordata; Mammalia; Primates; Hominidae
Product: long intergenic non-protein coding RNA 2241
Source: Ensembl